AUGCUAUAAGUAGGAAACAAACUUAGUCUUGUAAACUAAGUUAGAAAGUUAAACUCUUUCAUAUAGCU
RNAcentral lists this transfer RNA (68 nucleotides) under Cucumaria pseudocurata. RNAcentral's name for it is "tRNA-Thr". Lineage: Eukaryota; Metazoa; Echinodermata; Holothuroidea; Dendrochirotida; Cucumariidae. The record is from RNAcentral.